GUGCUCGCUUCGGCAGCACAUAUAGUAAAAUUGUAAAGAUACAGAGAAGAUCAGCAUGGCCCCUGUGCAAGGAUGACAGGCAAAUUCGUGAAGCCCUCCAUAUCUUU
This 107-nucleotide small nuclear RNA is filed under the name Moschus moschiferus (Siberian musk deer). The record is from RNAcentral. Lineage: Eukaryota; Metazoa; Chordata; Mammalia; Artiodactyla; Moschidae.